CCUACGGGAGGCAGCAGUGAGGAAUAUUGGUCAAUGGGCGAGAGCCUGAACCAGCCAAGUCGCGUGAGGGAGUACUGCCCUAUGGGUUGUAAACCUCUUUUGUCGGGGAGCAAAAGCCGGACGUGUCCGGCUGUGAGAGUAUCCGAAGAAAAAGCAUCGGCUAACUCCGUGCCAGCAGCCGCGGUAAUACGGAGGAUGCGAGCGUUAUCCGGAUUUAUUGGGUUUAAAGGGUGCGCAGGCGGAUUUUUAAGUCAGCGGUAAAAUCGUGGGGCUCAACCCCAUCCAGCCGUUGAAACUGGGGAUCUAGAGUGUGCGAGAGGUAUGUGGAAUGCGUGGUGUAGCGGUGAAAUGCAUAGAUAUCACGCAGAACCCCGAUUGCGAAGGCAGCAUACCGGUGCACAACUGACGCUCAGGCACGAAAGCGUGGGUAUCGAACAGGAUUAGAUACCCGGGUAGUC
This 458-nucleotide ribosomal RNA is filed under the name uncultured bacterium. RNAcentral's name for it is "partial 16S ribosomal RNA". It matches the Rfam family "Bacterial small subunit ribosomal RNA", at positions 338 to 795 of the family's 1533-position model. The record is from RNAcentral.